RNAcentral lists this ribosomal RNA (220 nucleotides) under uncultured bacterium. RNAcentral describes it as "partial 16S ribosomal RNA". It matches the Rfam family "Bacterial small subunit ribosomal RNA", at positions 109 to 334 of the family's 1533-position model. The record is from RNAcentral.
GGUAAUGUCUGGGAAACUGCCUGAUGGAGGGGGAUAACUACUGGAAACGGUAGCUAAUACCGCAUAACGUCGCAAGACCAAAGAGGGGGACCUUGGGCCUCUUGCCAUCGGAUGUGCCCAGAUGGGAUUAGCUAGUAGGUGGGGUAAGGCUCACCUAGGCGACGAUCCCUAGCUGGUCUGAGAGGAUGACCAGCCACACUGGAACUGAGACACGGUCCAG